ACGCUCGACACCUACGGAGGCAGCAGUGGGGAAUAUUGCACAAUGGGGGAAACCCUGAUGCAGCGACGCCGCGUGAGUGAAGAAGUAUUUCGGUAUGUAAAGCUCUAUCAGCAGGGAAGAAGAUGACGGUACCUGAGUAAGAAGCCCCGGCUAACUACGUGCCAGCACGCCGGACGGUAAUCUGAGGCGGGCGUGGACGAAGGC
This 204-nucleotide ribosomal RNA is filed under the name uncultured bacterium. Its description in RNAcentral is "partial 16S ribosomal RNA". It matches the Rfam family "Bacterial small subunit ribosomal RNA", at positions 328 to 538 of the family's 1533-position model. The record is from RNAcentral.